This 231-nucleotide unclassified non-coding RNA is filed under the name Hevea brasiliensis (rubber tree). Lineage: Eukaryota; Viridiplantae; Streptophyta; Magnoliopsida; Malpighiales; Euphorbiaceae. The record is from RNAcentral.
AAAGAAUGUGGGAUUACAUAAAGCAAAAUAACCUUCAGGACCCUUCUGACAAAAGGAGAAUAAUUUGUGACAAGAGGCUGAAAGAACUCUUCGAUGUCGAAUCCUUUAACGGCUUCACUGUUUCGAAACUCCUGGCCACUCAUUUUAUAAAGACAAAAUAGUGAGUUUUUUCCUACACAUUGUCUUUGUUGAUGCAAGAGAAUCUAGAAUUUUGCUUGAGAUAGUUUUAGU